AGCAGCCGCGGUAAUUCCAGCUCCAAUAGCGUAUAUUAAAGUUGCUGCAGUUAAAAAGCUCGUAGUUGAAUUUCGGGACCAUCAUGUCGGUCGUGCCUCGGUACGUACUGGCAUUGUUGGUUUCUACCUUCUGACGAACCAUGAUGUCAUUUAUUUGGUGUCGUGGGAAAUCAGGACUGUUACUUUGAAAAAAUUAGAGUGUUUAAAGCAGGCUCACGCUUGAAUACAUUAGCAUGGAAUAAUGAAAUAGGACGUUUGAUUCUAUUUUGUUGGUUUCUAGGAUCGACGUAAUGAUUAAUAGGGAUAGUUGGGGGCAUUAGUAUUCAAUUGUCAGAGGUGAAAUUCUUGGAUUUAUUGAAGACUAACUACUGCGAAAGCAUUUGCCAAGGAUGUUUUCAUUAAUCAAGAACGAAAGUUAGGGGAUCGAAGACGAUCAGAUACCGUCGUAGUCUUAACCAUAAACUAUGCC
RNAcentral lists this ribosomal RNA (469 nucleotides) under uncultured Glomus. RNAcentral's name for it is "SSU rRNA". It matches the Rfam family "Eukaryotic small subunit ribosomal RNA", at positions 569 to 1043 of the family's 1831-position model. Lineage: Eukaryota; Fungi; Glomeromycota; Glomeromycetes; Glomerales; Glomeraceae. The record is from RNAcentral.